RNAcentral lists this ribosomal RNA (253 nucleotides) under uncultured bacterium. RNAcentral describes it as "partial 16S ribosomal RNA". It matches the Rfam family "Bacterial small subunit ribosomal RNA", at positions 524 to 776 of the family's 1533-position model. The record is from RNAcentral.
UACAGAGGUCCCAAGCGUUGUUCGGAAUUACUGGGCGUAAAGGGCUCGUAGGCGGCCAACUAAGUCCGACGUGAAAUCCCCAGGCUCAACCCAGGAACUGCGUCCGAUACUGGUUGGCUUGAAUCCGGGAGAGGGAUGUGGAAUUCCAGGUGUAGCGGUGAAAUGCGUAGAUAUCUGGAGGAACACCGGUGGCGAAGGCGACAUCCUGGACCGGUAUUGACGCUGAGGCGCGAAAGCCAGGGGAGCAAACGGG